CAGUCGCCGCGGGAAUACGAAGGGUGCAAGCGUUAAUCGGAAUUACUGGGCGUAAAGCGCGCGUAGGUGGUUCAUUAAGUUGGAUGUGAAAGCCCUGGGCUCAACCUGGGAAUUGCAGUGGAUACUGGGUCACUAGAGUGUGGUAGAGGAUAGUGGAAUUUCCGGUGUAGCAGUGAAAUGCGUAGAGAUCGGAAGGAACAUCUGUGGCGAAGGCGACUAUCUGGGCCAACACUGACACUGAGGCACGAAAGCGUGGGGAGCAAACAGGAUUAGAUACCCCAGUAGUCCCUGUCUCUUAUAC
RNAcentral lists this ribosomal RNA (301 nucleotides) under uncultured bacterium. Its description in RNAcentral is "partial 16S ribosomal RNA". It matches the Rfam family "Bacterial small subunit ribosomal RNA", at positions 509 to 807 of the family's 1533-position model. The record is from RNAcentral.